AGUGAACGCUGGCGGUAGGCCUAACACAUGCAAGUCGAACGGCAGCACAGGAGAGCUUGCUCUCUGGGUGGCGAGUGGCGGACGGGUGAGGAAUACAUCGGAAUCUGCCCAGUCGUGGGGGAUAACGUAGGGAAACUUACGCUAAUACCGCAUACGACCCUCGGGUGAAAGAGGGGGAUCGCAAGACCUCUCGCGAUUGGAUGAGCCGAUGUCGGAUUAGCUAGUUGGCGGGGUAAUGGCCCACCAAGGCGACGAUCCGUAGCUGGUCUGAGAGGAUGAUCAGCCACACUGGGACUGAGACACGGUCCAGACUCCUACGGGAGGCAGCAGUGGGGAAUAUUGGACAAUGGGCGCAAGCCUGAUCCAGCCAUACCGCGUGGGUGAAGAAGGCCUUCGGGUUGUAAAGCCCUUUUGUUGGGAAAGAAAUCUUUCAGGCUAAUACCCUGGGAGGAUGACGGUACCCAAAGAAUAAGCACCGGCUAACUUCGUG
This 490-nucleotide ribosomal RNA is filed under the name uncultured bacterium. RNAcentral's name for it is "partial 16S ribosomal RNA". It matches the Rfam family "Bacterial small subunit ribosomal RNA", at positions 29 to 507 of the family's 1533-position model. The record is from RNAcentral.